Molecule: non-coding RNA, 111 nt
Organism: Gossypium hirsutum (cotton)
Lineage: Eukaryota; Viridiplantae; Streptophyta; Magnoliopsida; Malvales; Malvaceae
Source: Rfam
AACCCAUGGAGAGGGCACCUUCUCAAAAGGUCUUUGUAUCUCUCCCAUGCAUCGUAGAGUGUUUCUAAAUUCAUCUACACAAAAGAAGAAAUAUUAUUAUAUAAUUUGGCU